GAUUGGUCAGGUUGGUUUAGGACCCUUUUGAGGGGUCGUGUCCGCGCUCCUCGCGCUCUCAUUUUCCUGUGGCUCUCCGUGAGGAAGGAUGGCUGAACGUGUCCGUUUUGCUGGAGGCCUGGUGCUUUUGGAGCAGCGGCAUGGUUUUGGGUAGAUAUCAGCCACCAUCUUCACACUAUCAGAUAUAUCUACAGAAUAUAGGCCUGCAGCCACGGAUAUAAAAUGCGGGGAAGUUUCAGCUGCUUCUAGUGGUGCAGUGACCUGCUUAUCCUGAGGGGGGCACACUGUCCUUUUGCUGGUGAGCAUGGUGCAGCUUGAGAUGAGUCAUAGAGAAAAGGAUCAAGAAAGGAGGACAGGUUUCUGGGUUGGAAUGAGGACUUCUACCAUCCAGUGGUGAACUAAGCAGAGGCAGUUGGACAGUUGAUGCUGCUGUGGAUGUGUAAAUGGUCUUGAGUUUCCCAAGCCACCAUUUGUGUGGACUGCCACGUUUAAAUGUUGUCAUUCUCAAAUAAAUGUAUUUAAUUAUGCA
Long non-coding RNA from Pygocentrus nattereri (red-bellied piranha), 529 nucleotides. RefSeq lists it as uncharacterized. NCBI's taxonomy places the organism in Eukaryota, Metazoa, Chordata, Actinopteri, Characiformes, Serrasalmidae. The record is from RefSeq and is a predicted model, not a curated record. The transcript is spliced from 8 exons.